CUUCUAGUCGCCAUGUUUGUGUUGGUAGUGAAAAGGAUGUCGAGACUUAUUAGGGAAUUGUGAUAGUUAUUUAUUGAGGGUGUGAGUGUUUAAGAUAUAUUACGUCCAAAAUGGUGGUGUCCGUUUGGUUAACGUUGGUGGAAUUUACUGUUAUAUAUAUAUUUUUGUUUGUGUAUUUUAAUUUUUUAUUUCUUUCUUGAAUUUUAGUGUUUGGGUUUAGCGGUUGAAUGAGAGUGUUACCAUGAAAGGUAUUUUUUUUUAUUGUUUUACUGCGGUUUUAAUAUAUACAGUAGGUGCCAAAAGUAUCCGAACACUUCGCGUUUUCGGACCAUUUUAGCAUGGGUUCAA
This is a long non-coding RNA of Daphnia magna, 348 nucleotides long. RefSeq lists it as uncharacterized. Lineage: Eukaryota; Metazoa; Arthropoda; Branchiopoda; Diplostraca; Daphniidae. The transcript has 2 exons. The record is from RefSeq and is a predicted model, not a curated record.